AUUGAACGCUGGCGGCAUGCCUUACACAUGCAAGUCGAACGGCAGCACGGGUGCUUGCACCUGGUGGCGAGUGGCGAACGGGUGAGUAAUACAUCGGAACGUACCUUAUCGUGGGGGAUAACGCAGCGAAAGCUGUGCUAAUACCGCAUACGCCUUGAGGGGGAAAGCGGGGGAUCGAAAGACCUCGCGCGAUUAGAGCGGCCGAUGCCUGAUUAGCUUGUUGGUGGGGUAAAAGCCCACCAAGGCGACGAUCAGUAGCUGGUCUGAGAGGACGAUCAGCCACAGUGAGACUGAGAACCGGCCCCGGCUCCUACGGGAGGAAGCAGUGGGAAAUUUUGGACAAUGGGGGCAACCCUGAUCCAGCAAUGCCGCGUGAGUGAAGAAGGCCUUCGGGUUGUAAAGCUCUUUUGUCAGGGAAGAAACACCGGCUCUAACACAGUCCGGGAAUGACGGUACCUGAAGAAUAAGCACCGGCUAACUACGUGCCAGCAGCCGCCGUAA
Molecule: ribosomal RNA, 501 nt
Filed under: uncultured bacterium
Lineage: Bacteria
Description: partial 16S ribosomal RNA
Rfam family: Bacterial small subunit ribosomal RNA
Source: RNAcentral